AUAAGUAUUCACAACAACAUAAUUUAAAUAUAAAUUUAAUUUAUACAAUUGUCAUGUAAAAUACGACAAAACAUAAGUUGAGAGUUUUAACACGAAUAUUAUCUCGUAGACAAUAUCUAAACUCAAAUGGAGUCCUCAUUACAAUUAUUAUCGCACUAUUUUAUAGAAGACAAAACAUAAGUUGAUAGUUUUAACACGAAUAUUGUUUCGUAGACAAUAUCUAAACUCAAAUGGAGUCCUCAUUACAAUUAUUAUCACACUAUUUUAUAGAAUAGUGAAGACUACUAUAGCCACCAUCUUGGACCAUCACUCCAUUCCCCAACUAGUCCUAGCUAUAUUCUCAUUUUUUGAAUAAAACAAUUCCUGAAGAUAACAAUGAAAUAAAAGAAUGAGCUCAACUAGCCCAGUAAAAAUAACAUAUUAUGACUAAUAUAAUGUAGAAUAAAUUAUCCUUAGUCUUCAACAGUAUAAAAACUGAUAGAAUAUAAUAGACAACAAGUUUAACUGCGGCGGAACAAGCAAUUUAUUAAAAGAGUCAAUUUAAAAAUACAUUUAAUAAGAACAAUUAUCACUAUUAUCCCUUAUAUUUCAUUUUUUUUAAUAUACAUUUAAUAAUAUGAAUAUUAUAUUAAAUAACACUACAAAAAAUUCACAAUUAAUUGCCAUUGGAACUAUUGUUAAGAAAAAAAUGUGUUGUUAAAAAUAUAUUGAACAAAAUUUAAUAAAAGGAAUAAUAAUGGAUUUUAAUUCAUCCACAAAAUUCUAAACUAAAUCACAUAACACUUUUUUUUUUUGGAGUAAUCAAUAACUCGGACAAUCCAGAACUCAGAUAUUGAGUCAAUUUAGUUUUAUCCAUAAACAAUCACGUUACCAAAACAACAAACAUAAAAAAGCUAAUGGAAAACCCUCAAUAAAGCCAUAAAUCACUCCAUGUAAAUGAAAUAUUAUAGGUUUACCUUGAAAAAUGAUUCAACAACUAUUUUAUUCCAACAAUUUAGACGAGGAUAUAAUUACUUUUUAUAGUUCAAAUUUAAACUAGGUUAAUGAUUUUUUUUAAUUCUAAAAAAAAUGCUUCAUUACUUAAUAGUUCUACUUCCACAACAAAUUUAUACAUUUAAUGUAUUAUCUGUAAAGUUUAUCAUCAACACGAGAUUAGGUCAUAGUCUAAUUACUUGUACUUGUAAAUUUUGAGAAUAUAAAUCUAAUUAUUUAUACAUCUGGAAAAACUUAAGAUAAUUAAGUGUAGUAAAAUAUUAAGCAAAUUUCAAUAAAUUUUCAGAUUAAGUUUUCUUUUCCUUUUUUCCACAAAUAAAAGUAACUAAUAGAAAAAAAAUACAUUUAGAACAUCCAAAAAUAUAGAAAUACAAUUUUCUUUUAUUACUCUUCAAGAUACAUACUAUUAAUUAGAACAUGAAUUCAAUUAAUAAUGUCCACUAACUAUACAAAACAACACAAAUCAAAUGUCCAAGAACAUCACAAUAAGGGGGAAAUGUUUGAGUUAAUGUGUUGUCCUACAUGUGCAGAUGAUGUCCAACUUUAAAUGUUAAAGAAGUCCUGAUGUCUACUAGUAUAAUAUUUGUUGAAUAUGGUAUCUAGGUACACAUAUCUAGAUACACAUAGGGUAUCUUAGUAUAAAUAUAUUAUUUUUUUAAAAAAAAUAAUCAAACCAGCUUGCCCUAUAAUGAAUAGGCUAGGCUAGUAUGUAUUGCAAUUUAACAAGAGAAGGUCGGAGCAAAUGUAUAUGUAACAAUGAUAUAAUGAUAUAUUGCAAGUUAAAUAUAAUAUUAGAUCAAAUGUAUCAAUAUGAUGCUUUAUUGACUUCCGCCUGCUUCGUUAGGUUGAUUUGCAUUGGUGGGCGUCAGAUCUUGACGGAAAAUCGCAUUUUUUCCUGUAUUGAGGUAGGGCUGUGCGUCUCUAUUUAUAUAAAGUCAGACCGUGAGUCUUAAUUUUAUAAGCUCAUCAAGACACCAUUUAAAAUAUUUUUAAAAAUAUUCAUCUUGACAUCAUUUAGAUAUCAUUGCAUAAACUAUCAAAAUUAAGUUUACAAUUACCUUGAAUUAUAAACUUGAACACUUUGAUAAUUUUAUAAGAACUUACGGGUAUAUUUAAACCGAGAAACCACGGUCGGAUGAGAUCAAACCUAAAAUUCCAUAGAACUCGAUCUCUAAUAACUAGAAUGAAAAAACGCAGGCCUGGAUCAAACUUCAUCCCACAUCUACAAACUGAUAUUUGAUUUAAGGAAUCAGUUAAACUAGUAAUAAUAUGAAUAAAUAUACAAAACAAAGUAAUAUAGAGAGAAUCAUUGAUGUACCUUUGGACAGGGAGCCAAUAUGGAUGAAUAAUAGACUGCCAGAUAAAGCAGUAGCUGCACCAUCACUUUCUUUUUUCUUCUUCAUGAAUAAGGGACUAAGGGAGGCGGGCAGAGAUAAAAGGAUAUGAAGCCC
RNAcentral lists this long non-coding RNA (2444 nucleotides) under Panax ginseng (ginseng). RNAcentral's name for it is "long non-coding RNA (PGIN_LNC011196)". Lineage: Eukaryota; Viridiplantae; Streptophyta; Magnoliopsida; Apiales; Araliaceae. The record is from RNAcentral.